ACAGGGAUUGCCUCAGUAACGGCGAGUGAAGCGGCAACAGCUCAAAUUUGAAAUCUGGCUCCUUCGGGGUCCGAGUUGUAAUUUGCAGAGGAUGCGUCGGGUACGGGUCCCUACCGAGUUCCCUGGAACGGGACGCCAUAGAGGGUGAGAGCCCCGUCUGGUAGGAUACCCAGCCCAUGUGACGCUCCCUCGACGAGUCGAGUAGUUUGGGAAUGCUGCUCUAACGGGAGGUAUACUCCUUCCAAAGCUAAAUACCGGCUGGAGACCGAUAGCGCACAAGUAGAGUGAUCGAAAGAUGAAAAGCACUUUGAAAAGAGAGUCAAACAGCACGUGAAAUUGUUAAAAGGGAAGCACUCGCUACCAGACUUGGGUUUGGCGGUUCAACCGGGGCCACGCCCCGGGGCAUUCCGCCAGCUCAGGCCAGCAUCAGCUUUCCGUCGGGGGCAAAGACGUCGGGAAUGUGGCUCCCCCUCGGGGGAGUGUUAUAGCCCGGCGUGUCAUACCCUUCGGGGGGCUGAGGUACGCGCUUCUGCAAGGAUGCUGGCGUAAUGGUAGCUAGUGACCCGUCUUGAAACACGGACCAAGGAGUCAACCUUAUGUGCGAGUGCCCGGGCGUAAAACCCCAGCGCGGAAUGAAAGUGAACGUAGGUGAGAGCUUCGGCGCAUCACCGACCGAUCCUGAUGUCCUCGGACGGAUUUGAGUGAGAGCAUAUAGGGUUGGACCCGAAAGAAGAUGAACUAUGCGUGUGUAGGGUGAAGCCAGAGGAAACUCUGGUGGAGGCUCGCAGCGGUUCUGACGUGCAAAUCGAUC
This 811-nucleotide ribosomal RNA is filed under the name Plectosphaerella cucumerina. RNAcentral describes it as "partial large subunit ribosomal RNA". It matches the Rfam family "Eukaryotic large subunit ribosomal RNA", at positions 68 to 903 of the family's 3401-position model. The record is from RNAcentral. Lineage: Eukaryota; Fungi; Ascomycota; Sordariomycetes; Glomerellales; Plectosphaerellaceae.